This 719-nucleotide long non-coding RNA is filed under the name Hordeum vulgare. Its description in RNAcentral is "long non-coding RNA (HVUL_LNC005732)". The record is from RNAcentral. Lineage: Eukaryota; Viridiplantae; Streptophyta; Magnoliopsida; Poales; Poaceae.
GAGGACUAUAUCCAUCAUGGGCCGCAACCUUGUGAGAAUGCUCCAGGCUUAUCUUCAGUUGCCACUUCGAUUGCUAUUAUGGAGUUACAGAAAUGCGUAAGGCUUUUGAUGUGUGUUCUUGUCCAUAAGUUAAUUGUAAUACUUUCGACAUAUGUUAGUACUGCUUGAUUAUUUGCCCAGAACGCAUAAAUAAACCUCUCUUGAGAUUAUCGGAUUCUCAUUAUGAUCUUUUGCUUAUGUCUGAGCAUGCAGUCCAGUAAACAUUCCUGUACACGUCGUGUUGGUUGAGUGAGCCAUCUUACUAGAAUCAUCUGAAGCUAUUAUUCCCUCUGUAACUUAAUAGAAGACGUUUUCUGACACUCUUUUUAUUAGUGUCAAAAAAUGUCUUAUAUUAAGUAGGGAGUAUUUCCUUUUGGCCAAAUCACGCAGUUCUUGUUUGCCACUUCCACUUGUUCCUUGCUACUUUUACUGGCCUGCUCAUUUGUCUAGUCUAAACAAGUUUCCUUGAAUUUCAGGUAUAAUAUGGGUGUAAUUCCAACAAAGAAGAGCUUGGUUAAAUGCGAGAGACUUUCAGUGAGCGCUUUCGCCAGGUCUCUAUCUCUCUCCGGGUUAUAACAAUGAUUCCCUUUGACCGCCGAAUAGUGCAUUUUAUUUGCCGGUUAAUUUUUAGAAAGUGUUUCACCUCUGGCCUACCCCAACUUGUUUGGGACUAAAGGCUU